This 497-nucleotide ribosomal RNA is filed under the name uncultured bacterium. RNAcentral describes it as "partial 16S ribosomal RNA". It matches the Rfam family "Bacterial small subunit ribosomal RNA", at positions 28 to 507 of the family's 1533-position model. The record is from RNAcentral.
GAUGAACGCUGGCGGCGUGCCUAAUACAUGCAAGUCGAGCGAACGGACGAGAAGCUUGCUUCUCUGUUGUUAGCGGCGGGCGGGUGUGUAACACGUGGAUAACCUACCUAUAAGACUGGGAUCACUUCGGGAAACCGGAGCUAAUACCGGAGGAUAUUUUGAACCGCAUGGUUCAAAAGUGAAAGACGGUCUUGCGGUCACUUAUAGAUGGAUCCGCGCUGCAUUAGCUAGUUGGUAAGGUAACGGCGUACCAAGGCAACGAUGCAUAGCCGACCUGAGAGGGUGAUCGGCCACACUGGAACUGAGACACGGUACAGACUCCUACGGGAGGCAGCAGUAGGGAAUCUUCCGCAAUGGGCGAAAGCCUGACGGAGCAACGCCGCGUGAGUGAUGAAGGUCUUCGGAUCGUAAAACUCUGUUAUUAGGGAAGAACAUAUGUGUAAGUAACUGUGCACAUCUUGACGGUACCUAAUCAGAAAGCCACGGCUAACUACGUG